ACAAUUCAUGCAAAAUUUGCAUUCCACUUUCUGAUUUAGCCUGGUUGGUUUUAAUAUGACUGUAUGAAUAUUUCAAAAAAAAAAUGUGCUCUGUUCCUCAUGUUGUUCUGUUCACCUCACUAUGACGGACCCUGGGUCAGCUGGUCUUGAGCUUGACCCUAGAAUUGACUCUAGGAGCAGUGACCCUGCUGCCUCCCAGAGCCAAUUAUAGGCAAGAUCAAGACCAACUGACCUUCUCCUAGGCAGCUCCUUUGGUGUGCAGAUGCUCUGACCUCACUGUUCAUGAGUGGACCUCAACUAAGGUAUCUUCCAGUUGGGUGCUGGAAGGAACCCAUUGACUCACACUAGAAUGAUGAGGAUUUGCUCAUCUGGCGUGGAGAAGGAUGAGCCCACAAAACCCUAAAAGGAAAGGAGAGGCUGGACACAGCUGUACUCAGCAGAUUCCUGAAUGCUAGGCUGGAAAGUGGUGCCUGUUGUCCAAGUGGAGUCACAUGGUUGCUAAUGUGGGCAAGUCUGAGGACACACUUCAUGAGCAGCUGGGGUCUGGAAGGCUCCUCGCUUUACCCCGGCCACAUAUACUUACUGGUUGCCUACAGCACAUAGCACCUUGCAGAGAGCACUAUUAGGAAACCAAGAUUACUGUGGCACAAUUAAUUCCUGGGUAAGGCAUGGGGUUGUGGUAGACAGAGCUCAGUCUUUAGUUUGAAUCCCAACCCUCAAUUAAUGUAAAAACAUACAUGAAAAAAGGACCCUCAUCAACAUUAGAAGGGGUAGAUUCGGAGCACUUUAGGCAGGAAAACAGGAAGGCAAGGCCAGGAAACUGGAACCCAAUGAAUACUCAGAACCAAGGAUGCAGAUGACUUAUUUAGCAAAGUGGUCACUUCUGUGACAUAGCUGGACAAAGGAUGGGUAACAGCUUGGCAGAGCCAGUUGGACCAGGGGCAAAUCUCAGUGUCUGGGGCAAAAGAUGAUGAAUUUCCCUCUGACCCAUCAUGUUUAUUCAUCUUCCACUCCCCAUUGCCACACUAGCUCUUGCUGUAUGUCCUCAGCAGGAUCUACAUUCCCUCGGCGCUGGUGGGAACCCCUUAGAGUACAUAGAGGUGUCAGUCCAGUAAGACUGCUCUACACAACAUAAGUGAGGCCCAGGGAAUAGCAGCCAGGCCCUUAUCCUGUUAUCUCUGCAGGAGUGACUACCCUACCCAGAUCCAGAGACACUGAAGGAAAUGAUAAUUCCCUGGUACCUCACUGCCUCAGGACAGAAUGAAGAAAGCCACCCUUCCUUAGGCUGCAGCUGGCCACUGCUGGGUUGGGUAAACAGGUCAUCCGCACCAAGCUAAAUCAGGACUAACACUAUGGAAGACAUGGGUGAGCCCAAGAGGAAGCAUGAACACGAUACUGGUCCUAAGUCAUGUCAACAGGUUGUGCUGGGCCAGGAUCCCCAGGGGAAAAAAAAUGGUCAACCCAACUGGAGGGUAGAAGAAAAAAAACAUAAACGUGGAUAGUCAUGUCAUCUCAAAUCCCUGACGUGCCUUCCUCAUUACUUAACAGUGUGAGCUCCUUCUCACUCUAUGACC
Molecule: long non-coding RNA, 1574 nt
Organism: Mandrillus leucophaeus (drill)
Lineage: Eukaryota; Metazoa; Chordata; Mammalia; Primates; Cercopithecidae
Exons: 2
Source: RefSeq, a predicted model, not a curated record